Molecule: ribosomal RNA, 802 nt
Filed under: Acinetobacter haemolyticus
Lineage: Bacteria; Pseudomonadati; Pseudomonadota; Gammaproteobacteria; Moraxellales; Moraxellaceae
Description: bacterial SSU rRNA
Rfam family: Bacterial small subunit ribosomal RNA
Source: RNAcentral
CUAAGUCGCAUUAGCUAGUUGGUGGGGUAAAGGCCUACCAAGGCGACGAUCUGUAGCGGGUCUGAGAGGAUGAUCCGCCACACUGGGACUGAGACACGGCCCAGACUCCUACGGGAGGCAGCAGUGGGGAAUAUUGGACAAUGGGCGGAAGCCUGAUCCAGCCAUGCCGCGUGUGUGAAGAAGGCCUUUUGGUUGUAAAGCACUUUAAGCGAGGAGGAGGCUACUCUAGUAAUACCUAGAGAUAGUGGACGUUACUCGCAGAAUAAGCACCGGCUAACUCUGUGCCAGCAGCCGCNGUAAUACAAGGGUGCGAGCGUUAAUCGGAUUUACUGGGCGUAAAGCGUGCGUAGGCGGCUGAUUAAGUCGGAUGUGAAAUCCCUGAGCUUAACUUAGGAAUUGCAUUCGAUACUGUUCACCUAGAGUAUGGGAGAGGAUGGUAGAAUUCCAGGUGUAGCGGUGAAAUGCGUAGAGAUCUGGAGGAAUACCGAUGGCGAAGGCAGCCAUCUGGCCUAAUACUGACGCUGAGGUACGAAAGCAUGGGGAGCAAACAGGAUUAGAUACCCUGGUAGUCCAAGCCGUAAACGAUGUCUACUAGCCGUUGGGGCCUUUGAGGCUUUAGUGGCGCAGCUAACGCGAUAAGUAGACCGCCUGGGGAGUACGGUCGCAAGACUAAAACUCAAAUGAAUUGACGGGGGCCCGCACAAGCGGUGGAGCAUGUGGUUUAAUUCGAUGCAACGCGAAGAACCUUACCUGGUCUUGACAUAGUAAGAACUUUCCAGAGAUGGAUUGGUGCCUAUAACGG